UUCCUACGGGACGCAGCAGUAAGGAAUAUUGGUCAAUGGGCGCAGGCCUGAACCAGCCAAGUCGCGUGAGGGAAGACUGCCCUAUGGGUUGUAAACCUCUUUUAUAAGGGAAGAAUAAUGACUACGUGUAGUCAGAUGCCCGUACCUUAUGAAUAAGCAUCGGCUAACUCCGUGCCAGCAGCCGCGGUAAUACGGAGGGCGCGAGCGUUAAUCGGAAUUACUGGGCGUAAAGCGCGCGUAGGCUGUUGUGUAAGUUGGGGGUGAAAUCCCACGGCUCAACCGUGGCA
This 287-nucleotide ribosomal RNA is filed under the name uncultured bacterium. Its description in RNAcentral is "partial 16S ribosomal RNA". It matches the Rfam family "Bacterial small subunit ribosomal RNA", at positions 336 to 620 of the family's 1533-position model. The record is from RNAcentral.